Molecule: ribosomal RNA, 435 nt
Filed under: Spilotes pullatus
Lineage: Eukaryota; Metazoa; Chordata; Lepidosauria; Squamata; Colubridae
Description: partial 12S ribosomal RNA
Source: RNAcentral
CGCCAAAUAACUACGAGUAAAAACUUAAAAUUUAAAAGACUUGACGGUACCUCACAACAACCUAGAGGAGCCUGUCAAAUAACCGAUACCCCACGAUUAAUCCAACCUUCACUAGCCUAACCAGUCUAUAUACCGCCGUCGCCAGCCUACCUUAUAAAAGAAACAAAGUAGGCUAAAAAGUCACAAUACUAGCACGACAGGUCGAGGUGUAACUUAUGUGAAGGCCAAAGAUGGGCUACAUUUUCUAACAUAGAAAAUACGAAUAAACUAUGAAAUAAGAAACUGAAGGCGGAUUUAGCAGUAAACUAAGGAUAAAAUACAUAGUCGAAACUAUAGCAAUGAGGUGCGUACACACCGCCCGUCAUCCCUGCAAACCAAACUAAAAAAAUACAUAAUUAUUAAAUAAGCCUAAAGCAGGGCAAGUCGUAACAAGGU